CACUGCUCCUUGACAAGAGAAUGUAAUUCUGAAGUGCCAGUGAGGGGACAAGGGUCUUGUGGAACAGAACUGGGGACCAUCAUUGGGUGACUUCUUGCCUCAAGCUGGCUACCCUUUAGAAAGUGCCCCCAGCCUUUGCUUUCAGACUUCGUCCCUUUCUGACUUGGAGCCAACAACUGUUUUUCUACCUGGGUCUCAUACAUUUUUCUAGCUCCUUAGAAGCUCUUACCUCUGGGAUCUCAUUGCACUGGAAUGAAACUACACGAGUGUGACUGAAGGCCAACGGCGCAGACCAAGUGCUGUCUAGGUACGUUGUCGUGCUGCGGAGCAAGGACUUGGUGACCAGCGCAGCCAAAACACACAGUAUGGGGUCAAGACUUGUCCUCCCCUGGGCAAGAAAUGGAAUUCUUGCCAUGUCCACACUGUUUGUUAAAGUGCUUUUGUUCCAGAGAUGACUGCUUGCUUGUUUUCAAUUUCAACUGUGACACAAUAAAGACAGCUCUAAAUGUUAGAAAAUGUUUUCAGGGAGCAAAACACAGUACAACAUGGUGAACUAGGUGGUGGUAAGUGACGUCACAGGAAGGCAUUCUUUUUUUUCUUUUCUUUCUUUUUUUUUUUUUUAAGAGAAAGAGGGCG
This is a long non-coding RNA of Ailuropoda melanoleuca (giant panda), 636 nucleotides long. RefSeq lists it as uncharacterized. The transcript has 3 exons. Lineage: Eukaryota; Metazoa; Chordata; Mammalia; Carnivora; Ursidae. The record is from RefSeq and is a predicted model, not a curated record.